RNAcentral lists this ribosomal RNA (253 nucleotides) under uncultured bacterium. RNAcentral's name for it is "partial 16S ribosomal RNA". It matches the Rfam family "Bacterial small subunit ribosomal RNA", at positions 524 to 776 of the family's 1533-position model. The record is from RNAcentral.
UAGGUAGGGUGCAAGCGUUGUCCGGAUUUAUUGGGUUUAAAGGGGGCGUAGGUGGCUGAUUAAGUCAUGGGUGAAAGCCCGCAGCUCAACUGUGGAAUUGCCUGUGAUACUGAUUAGCUUGAGUGCGGUUGAGGCAGCUGGAAUUGGUGGUGUAGCGGUGAAAUGCAUAGAUACCACCAGGAACACCGAUUGCGAAGGCAGGUUGCUAAGCCGUAACUGACACUGAGGCACGAAAGCGUGGGGAGGAAACAGG